GCAUUAAUAAUUUAAAAAAAAUUUUAAUCUUGUAAAUUAAAUUUAAGGGCUUUCUUCCCCUUUUAAUGCU
RNAcentral lists this transfer RNA (70 nucleotides) under Orthotomicus laricis. Its description in RNAcentral is "tRNA-Thr". The record is from RNAcentral. Lineage: Eukaryota; Metazoa; Arthropoda; Insecta; Coleoptera; Curculionidae.